RNAcentral lists this transfer RNA (72 nucleotides) under Thermoplasmata archaeon. Its description in RNAcentral is "tRNA-Ala". It matches the Rfam family "tRNA". From Rfam's summary of the family: Transfer RNA (tRNA) molecules are approximately 80 nucleotides in length. RNAcentral also lists the same sequence under 2 other names. Lineage: Archaea; Methanobacteriati; Thermoplasmatota; Thermoplasmata. The record is from RNAcentral.
GGGCCGGUAGAUCAGUGGAAGAUCGCCUGCUUUGCAAGCAGGAAGUCCUGGGUUCAAAUCCCAGCCGGUCCA